UGGGGAAUCUUGGACAAUGGGGGCAACCCUGAUCCAGCCAUGCCGCGUGAGUGAUGAAGGCCUUAGGGUCGUAAAGCUCUUUCGCCUGUGAAGAUAAUGACGGUAGCAGGUAAAGAAACCCCGGCUAACUCCGUGCCAGCAGCCGCGGUAAUACGGAGGGGGUUAGCGUUGUUCGGAAUUACUGGGCGUAAAGCGCACGUAGGCGGACCAGAAAGUUGGGGGUGAAAUCCCGGGGGCUCAACCCCGGAACUGCCUCCAAAACUAUUGGUCUAGAGUUCGAGAGAGGUGAGUGGAAUUCCAAGUGUAGAGGUGAAAUUCGUAGAUAUUUGGAGGAACACCAGUGGCGAAGGCGGCUCACUGGCUCGAUACUGACGCUGAGGUGCGAAAGUGUGGGGAGCAAAACAGGAUUAGAUACCCUGGUAGUCCACACCGUAAAACGAUGAAUGCCAGUCGUCGGGUAGCAUGCUAUUCGGUGACACACCUAACGGAUUAAGCAUUCCGCCUGGGGAGUACGGCCGCAAGGUUAAAAACUC
This 533-nucleotide ribosomal RNA is filed under the name uncultured bacterium. RNAcentral's name for it is "bacterial SSU rRNA". It matches the Rfam family "Bacterial small subunit ribosomal RNA", at positions 355 to 902 of the family's 1533-position model. The record is from RNAcentral.